GGGCCAGAUCGGCCAGCCUGUGAUCCCUACGUCCACAGCUUCUCCACGGGCACCAUGAUGGGUGUUCAGGGCCUGACCCUACAAAGCUACCUGACCCUAGGAGUCUUGGUAUCUCUUGCUCACUGUGAACAUGUGUUCCUAGACCAGCAGCAGGCACUGUCUGUGCUCCAGAGGGUCCGGCGGGCCAACAGGGGCCUCCUGGAGGAAAUGCGAGCAGGAAACCUAGAGCGGGAGUGUCUGGAGGAACAGUGCAGCUAUGAAGAGGCCUUCGAGGCUUUGGAAUCCACGGCAGCCACGGAUGCAUUCUGGACCAAGUACAAAUUUUGUGAAUCUGUGAGGACAACCUCAAGAGUUAUCUUUGAUGCCUGCCUAGAAGGAAAUUGUUCAGAGGGCAUCGGGUUCAAUUACCGGGGGAACAUCUCCAUCACCAAGUCUGGGAUCCCGUGCCAGCUCUGGAGGAGUCGCUACCCGCACAAGCCAGACCUCAACUCCACCACGCACCCUGACGCUGACCUCCGGGAAAAUUUCUGCCGAAACCCAGAUGGCAGUUCUACCGGACCCUGGUGCUACACCAGUGACCCUACCCUGCGGAGAGAGGAGUGCAGUAUCCCCAUCUGUGGAAAGGACAACAGCUUCACUGUGCCUCUGACCCCAAGAAGCCCCAACCUGUUGGCAGAAAGGAGCUCACAGCCUUGCAUCCCCGAUGUGGGACAGAAGUACCAAGGACACCUUGCUGUCAGUGCGUCUGGGGCCCCCUGCCUGCCCUGGGCCUCUGAGCAGCUGAAGUCGCUUCUCAAGGACAACAGUUUCGACCCUGCUGUGUCCCUGGAUAAGAACUAUUGCCGAAAUCCGGAUGGUGAUGAGGAGGGCCUCUGGUGCUUUGUGGCUGGGAACCCCAUUGGUCCAGAAUACUGCCAGGCCAGCUACUGCGACAGCCCCAUGGAUGAGGUGGAUGGAGACUUGGAGCCGGAGUCCGAGACCAUCGGGGGCCGGACCACAGUUCAGGAGUACCAAGUGUUCUUUAACGAGAACACCUUUGGUGCCGGAGAAGCAGGCUGCGGGCUUCGGCCCCUGUUUGAGAAGAAGGGGCUGGAGGACAACACUGAGAAGGAGCUGAUGGAGUCUUACAUUGGCGGGCGCAUCGUGCAUGGGGACGAUGCUGAGCUGGGCAGUGCUCCCUGGCAGGUGAUGCUUUUCCGGAAGACCCCUCAGGAACUGCUGUGUGGAGCCAGUCUCAUAAGUGACCGCUGGAUCCUCACCGCUGCCCACUGCCUCUUCUACCCCCCCUGGGACAAGAACUUCACAGUGGAAGACGUGCUAGUGCGCAUUGGAAAACACCAUCGCUCCAAGUAUGAACGUCACAUGGAGAAGAUCGCCAAGUUGGAGAAAAUCCUGAUCCACCCCAAAUACAACUGGAAGGAGAAUUUGGACCGAGACAUCGCCCUGCUGAAACUAAAACAGCCCAUCACCUUCACUGACUACAUCCACCCAGUCUGCCUGCCCUCCAAGGACGUUGUCCAAAAGUACAGCCUGGGCAUGGGGGGAGGUGCCUGGGCUCGAGGGGGAAAGGCAUUGCAGAAGAUGGGGCUGGAUGCUGCUGUCUGGGUUCUCCAUUUGCUCUCCCUCAUCUCCCUCUCUCCCCUCCCCAGGUUAUUCCUAUCCGGGUACAAAGGGAGAGUCACCGGCUGGGGCAACCUGAAGGAGACGUGGACCUCCUCGAGAGAAAACCUGCCCACCCUUAUGCAGAAAAUCAACCUCCCCAUUGUAGACCAGGCCACUUGCCGGGGCUCUACCAGGAUCAAAAUCACAGACAACAUGUUCUGCGCAGGCAAGUUUGUGGGGUGGGAGGAGGGGCUGGGAAGAGGAAACUCAAAGUCCAUUCAAGCAGCCCGAGAAAGAGCGGGUAGAAACCGGCGUGGCCUGCUGCCCGGUCAUCUCCACCCACGCGUCCUUGGAGAUAGGCAGAGUGGGUGAGGGUCUGAUUUCUGAAGCAAAGGACUAUCACCCCUUCUCUAGGGUACAAACAAGAUGAUGAGAAGCGAGGGGAUUCUUGUGAAGGAGACAGCGGAGGGCCUUUUGUUAUGAAGGUGAGUGUCACUUCUGGGUAGAUGGACAUUUGGGAAAGCAUUGGGCUUGGAAAGGGCCCUGAACAGAUCUAAAACUAGGCCAGGGCAACUGGAGCUUUGUCCUAGGGUUCCAAUAUUCAGAAGGCGUUAACAGCGUCAUUCUGGGUUGUGCUUCAUACACUCGAAGAGAGAUCAUUCUCAUCCCACUCUCUCUGUCUCAUGUGCAACAAUUAUUCUGUAUGGCUCUAUUCCCGGCACGGGGUAGGGAUGGUGGUUUGAAGAGGCAGUUACUAGGGAGGGUAGGUGGAGGCAUCCCUGGGACAUCUUACAUCCUGUCUUCUUUAAGAGCCCUUUCGACAAUCGCUGGUACCAAAUGGGAAUCGUGUCCUGGGGUGAAGGCUGCGACCGAGAUGGGAAAUUCGGCUUCUACACUCAUGUCUUCCGUCUAAAGAAGUGGAUACAGAAAACCAUCCAUCGACCUGGACUUUAGGGGCCCACCUGUAAGGCCCUAUCCCUGCCCCUGAGCAAGGAGCAUGAACUAGAGAGGUCUCCCCAUCCCCAAUGAAGUGGGAAGGUUUUGUGUUUUUUAUUUCUAAAAUAUCUAUUUCCCAAUAAAAAUCUUUCCCUCUAUGAGCUUUGGCUAUCC
RNAcentral lists this long non-coding RNA (2712 nucleotides) under Vombatus ursinus (common wombat). Its description in RNAcentral is "lncRNA (ENSVURG00010010435.1)". The record is from RNAcentral. Lineage: Eukaryota; Metazoa; Chordata; Mammalia; Diprotodontia; Vombatidae.